RNAcentral lists this small nucleolar RNA (132 nucleotides) under Dasypus novemcinctus (nine-banded armadillo). Its description in RNAcentral is "Small nucleolar RNA SNORA31 (ENSDNOG00000043787.1)". Lineage: Eukaryota; Metazoa; Chordata; Mammalia; Cingulata; Dasypodidae. The record is from RNAcentral.
AUGUGUCUCUGACAGACCUGGAGCAGUUAAUGUCUGCUGCUAAGUUUCCAUUACAGAUGCAAGAAAAAGAAGGUCCUUGAGCUUUCUGUUUGUCUGGUUGUAACAGCCAAGAUUGAAUGGUGGAAUACAGGA